UACGGAGGGUGCAAGCGUUAUCCGGAUUCACUGGGUUUAAAGGGUGCGUAGGUGGGUUGGUAAGUCAGUGGUGAAAUCUCCGUGCUUAACAUGGAAACUGCCAUUGAUACUACUGAUCUUGAAUUUUCAGGAGGUGAGCGGAAUAUGUCAUGUAGCGGUGAAAUGCUUAGAUAUGACAUAGAACACCAAUUGCGAAGGCAGCUUACUACAGGAAUAUUGACACUGAUGCACGAAAGCGUGGGGAUCAAACAGG
This 253-nucleotide ribosomal RNA is filed under the name uncultured bacterium. Its description in RNAcentral is "partial 16S ribosomal RNA". It matches the Rfam family "Bacterial small subunit ribosomal RNA", at positions 524 to 776 of the family's 1533-position model. The record is from RNAcentral.